ACUUCCGCUGCAACAGAACAAGAGAGGAAGCUGCCGUUAGCGUCAGAUUCAGCGGGACUGAGUCCGAGUUUUUCUCUUCUCCAGAUCGGAACCAAAGUAAUCCGGACUGCAGUGAUCCAUUCUGAGAAGGAUCUGUUUCCAGGUGUCAGUGGGUCCCGGAACACACCAGGAGGACCCGCUGGUGAGUAAACCUGUAGAUCACCUGGAUCCAGGACCGAACCCAGACAGCUGAUUGGACCUCGGACCUCUUCAGGACAUGAGCAGCUCGGUGAGUCGGUUGGAUCUGCAGCCACCUGAUCAGGCUCAGAGGAAGCGGCGGCCCGCCGGAAGCUCUCUGGUCUCCAGAACCAAGACCAGCAGAGCAGCCAGUGGUCGGACCCGCAGGACAGCCGGCGCCGGAGACCACGCCCCCCCCACGGAGCCCAUCGACGUGAUGGACGGCGCCGAGGACGGUGUGGAGGAGGUGGUGGACCUCACCUGCGAGGGAUCAGAGUCUGCUGUGGUUGACCUGACGACCAACAACGAGUCGGAGCUGCUGGUGGACGAAGGGCCUCCGGGUGAGAGCUAUGUACUCAGCAGUGAUGAAGAUGAAGACGCGCCCACUGUCGUUCAAGCUGCCAUCACCUCUACUGCACACACGUCCAGGUUGACUCCAGGUCUCAUCAGCUGUCCCGUCUGUCUGGACCUGUACUCCGAGAUCGUAGAGAGCGGGCGAUUGGUCGUCUCCACAAAGUGUGGCCACGUGUUCUGCAGCCAGUGUCUGAGGGACGCUCUGACAUCAUCACACACCUGCCCCACCUGCAGGAAGCGGCUCACUUCGCGCCAGUACCACCCUCUUUACAUCUGACACCUGGUGACAUCAUCAGCGGACUGAGCUGCUAUUGGCUGUCCUCAGUGGCGUUAUCGUCGACACUGAAGGUCGAUGACCUGGAAGGAGCAGAACGGAAAACUUCUUCCGGAUCACAUCUGGGUCUUCAGUUUUCCUGCCGAGUCAUGAUCCAUCAGCAGCUUUCAUCCCGUGACCCUGACUCAUCGCCUCACCCACUUCCUGCUUUGGGAGAUGAAACUUUAUUGACAAUGAGAAACAAACAGCAGACCAGAAGCUUCUGGAUCCUCCACAGAACCCUGAGCCAGAUUCUGAAUCCGUGGUUCUGUUCCAUCUAACUGAACCGGUGCUGGUUCUUUGGAUCGCCUGAAUGAUUCCUAAAAUAAACACAAACAUAUGACGACA
RNA transcript from Xiphophorus couchianus (Monterrey platyfish), 1231 nucleotides. It is a transcript of the gene named ring finger protein 4, with no coding region annotated. The transcript has 9 exons. The record is from RefSeq and is a predicted model, not a curated record. NCBI's taxonomy places the organism in Eukaryota, Metazoa, Chordata, Actinopteri, Cyprinodontiformes, Poeciliidae.